This 548-nucleotide ribosomal RNA is filed under the name uncultured bacterium. RNAcentral's name for it is "bacterial SSU rRNA". It matches the Rfam family "Bacterial small subunit ribosomal RNA", at positions 356 to 896 of the family's 1533-position model. The record is from RNAcentral.
GGGGAAUUUUGGACAAUGGGCGCAAGCCUGAUCCAGCCAUGCCGCGUGUCUGAAGAAGGCCUUCGGGUUGUAAAGGACUUUUGUCAGGGAAGAAAAGGCUGUUGCUAAUAUCAAUAGCUGAUGACGGUACCUGAAGAAUAAGCACCGGCUAACUACGUGCCAGCAGCCGCGGUAAUACGUAGGGUGCGAGCGUUAAUCGGAAUUACUGGGCGUAAAGCGAGCGCAGACGGUUACUUAAGCAGGAUGUGAAAUCCCCGGGCUCAACCUGGGAACUGCGUUCUGAACUGGGUGACUAGAGUGUGUCAGAGGGAGGUAGAAUUCCACGUGUAGCAGUGAAAUGCGUAGAGAUGUGGAGGAAUACCGAUGGCGAAGGCAGCCUCCUGGGAUAACACUGACGUUCAUGCUCGAAAGCGUGGGUAGCAAACAGGAUUAGAUACCCUGGUAGUCCACGCCCUAAACGAUGUCAAUUAGCUGUUGGGCAACCUGAUUGCUUAGUAGCGUAGCUAACGCGUGAAAUUGACCGCCUGGGGAGUACGGUCGCAAGAUUA